RNAcentral lists this ribosomal RNA (253 nucleotides) under uncultured bacterium. RNAcentral describes it as "partial 16S ribosomal RNA". It matches the Rfam family "Bacterial small subunit ribosomal RNA", at positions 524 to 776 of the family's 1533-position model. The record is from RNAcentral.
UACGGAGGGUGCAAGCGUUAAUCGGAAUUACUGGGCGUAAAGCGCACGUAGGUGGGUAUUUAAGUUGGAUGUGAAAGCCCUGGGCUUAACCUGGGAACUGCAUCCAAAACUGGGUACCUAGAGUACAGUAGAGGGAGGUGGAAUUUCCGGUGUAGCGGUGAAAUGCGUAGAGAUUGGAAAGAACACCGAUGGCGAAGGCACUUUACUGGGCUAUUACUGACACUCAGAGACGAAAGCUAGGGUAGCAAAUGGG